GCGCGCCUGGCUGAGCUAGAACUUGAUGCCCCUCCGGGCUGCCUGGAUUUUCCGGUUCUGAAUUCCCUUCCAGCUAGUUGACCUCCGGGGGCCCAGUGUUGCAGGUUGAUAAGAAAAUGAAAUGAACUCUGCUGGUCGGCUGCAAUAGGACAGGAUGGACCUGGCUCUAUACUUGGCUAAGCAAACAAAAUGGUUGGUCGCCUCUUCCCCGCCUCAGGACCCAAACACAGGUUCCCUCUUCCCUCACCCAUUCCUCCCCUCUUUCUGCUUUUCUUCUUCCUCCUUCCCCCAUCCUUUUUCUCCCUCUUGUUUUUCUCUUCUUC
Chionomys nivalis (European snow vole) is the source of this 323-nucleotide long non-coding RNA. RefSeq lists it as uncharacterized. The transcript is spliced from 4 exons. Lineage: Eukaryota; Metazoa; Chordata; Mammalia; Rodentia; Cricetidae. The record is from RefSeq and is a predicted model, not a curated record.